Saccostrea cuccullata (small rock oyster) is the source of this 565-nucleotide long non-coding RNA. RefSeq lists it as uncharacterized. NCBI's taxonomy places the organism in Eukaryota, Metazoa, Mollusca, Bivalvia, Ostreida, Ostreidae. The transcript is spliced from 3 exons. The record is from RefSeq and is a predicted model, not a curated record.
GUAAGUAUUACACAUUACAUUUAUAUCCAACAUGUAAAGUAAAAUUUUUGUCUUGCUGUAAAAUUUCAUAAUGAAAACUUUUAACAGUCUGCUGAAUUUUUCAAGUGUUUCUAGGUUAUAGUUUGAUUUCAUUCUUCAAACUACAGGAAAAUAAUUAUUUAAUGUAAUUCUUUUUUACAGUAUAACCAGAAUAUAAUGGAUGUUUACAUUCACAAAAGUUACUUCCCUUUGCUGAGUUAAUUAAGCUGGACAUAUAGCCAACCCAGUGUGGUUGUUGGAAUAGAUGGCGACUUGUCCUGCCACUGGUGUAGGAAGCUUCUCUUCAAUGGCUCGGUUGUGAAGACGACAGCAGCAUUCAAUAAUCCUGACACACUUUGCAGGGGUGUAUGCCAAAGCUCCUCCUGUUUUGUGCAGACAUCUGAAACAAGACUUAAGGACCCCAAAGGCCCUCUCCACACAAUUCCUAGUCUUGAUGUGGCUUUUGUUAAACUUCUCCUCCUGUCUUGCCUGAGGAGCCAGAAUGGGUGUCAUUAGCCAGGGUCUGAGAGGAUAUCCACUGUCACCC